This 253-nucleotide ribosomal RNA is filed under the name uncultured bacterium. RNAcentral's name for it is "partial 16S ribosomal RNA". It matches the Rfam family "Bacterial small subunit ribosomal RNA", at positions 524 to 776 of the family's 1533-position model. The record is from RNAcentral.
UACGUAGGGUGCAAGCGUUGUCCGGAAUUAUUGGGCGUAAAGAGCUCGUAGGCGGUUUGUCGCGUCUGCUGUGAAAACUCGGGGCUUAACCCCGGGCCUGCAGUGGGUACGGGCAGACUAGAGUGCGGUAGGGGAGACUGGAAUUCCCGGUGUAGCGGUGAAAUGCGCAGAUAUCGGGAGGAACACCGGUGGCGAAGGCGGUUCUCUGGGCCUUACCUGACGCUGAGGAGCGAAAGCGUGGGGAGCGAACAGG